CAUCCUGGCAGGGGCAGAAAAGGCAGAGUGGAGAGGCUCCGGAGACAGGAAGCUGUGGCCUGCUCCCACCGGCACCUUCCUACCUGCACCUGGAAGAACUCCCCCAUCUCCAGCAGGAUCUUCCUGGCGCUGGCGUGCUCCUUCUCCCCAUCGAUGCCCGCCUACGGCGGAAAGGGGAGCAACACGCCUGGCCGCCCGGAUGCAGGACGUCUGGACCGCCCAACCUCCACCCGCUUAUGCCAGCGGAGCCUCCGGGUGAGGGCCAGCAGAGGCGGGUCAGCCCCAGAGGCCUGCGGACCCCGGGCAACACUCUUCUUCCUGACCCUUCACCAUUUACCACUUCUGCGCGAUGAGAAGGGAAACAGAGAAGCGAGGUCAGCGCAGGCAGUUAGCCCAGGGUUCUCCACAUCACACCGUGUGACCUCCUCCCCACUCCCAUCCAGACUCGACGGGCUGACUGCUUUGACGUCCCUUGCCUUGGCUAACGGUCAUAAAAAUCCCGGGGAGGGAACUUUAUCAUCUUACAGCUGAGAGCAGGCUCAGACAGCUUAAGUAACUUGGUCAAGGUCACACAGCCACGCAGUGGGGGCACGAGACUGCCCGAAGACGUCUGCUUUGUGCCCUCUUGUCCAAAAGCCCCAUCAGGGGGCAGCAAGGGUGGGGAGGCUCACUCACCAUGUACAUGGCGGCAGCCACAGGAAGAUAGAACGAGUAGAAAGCGGUCUUAUACUUGACGAUGGACUUGUACCUGGGCAGGGGAGAAGACACACCGCUCAGAAGGGCAGUGCCCAGCACAGCCCUCCCGGGCCGUCCGGAUGCAGUUCCCACCAUCCCUCACCUCUUUUCAGUGAAUCUGCUGAGAUCCACAUUGCCCUGGGGGGCCGUGAUGAGGUCCAGCGUCUGUCCGAGCUCAGUCUGAUAGGAACUCUGAGGAGGAAGAUGGCCCAUGACCUUGCCUUUCUCCAGGGCUGGGAAACCCUGAAAUCCCGGGACCCACAUCCCACGCCAUGGGCAGUCAGAGAGGCAGCAAGGACAGGGCCCUUGGGGUGCCCGGGUGGCACAGUUUGGUUAAGCCCCUGUAUCGGGCCCUGCGUGGUCAGUGGGGAGCCUGCUUGGGAUUCUCUCUCCCCCUCUCUCUGCCCCUCCCCCACCCAGUGGCUCACUCGCUCAAAAUAAAUAAAUUAAAAAAAAAAAA
Acinonyx jubatus (cheetah) is the source of this 1195-nucleotide long non-coding RNA. RefSeq lists it as uncharacterized. Lineage: Eukaryota; Metazoa; Chordata; Mammalia; Carnivora; Felidae. The record is from RefSeq and is a predicted model, not a curated record. The transcript has 3 exons.